RNAcentral lists this long non-coding RNA (17261 nucleotides) under Lynx pardinus (Iberian lynx). The record is from RNAcentral. Lineage: Eukaryota; Metazoa; Chordata; Mammalia; Carnivora; Felidae.
GCCCCCCUGGCCCCGAACCCUUGCUCGGGGGCCCGCAGUGCCCCCCGCUCCGGAGACGUUUAGGGCAGCGCUGCCGCCAGCCUGACCGGACGCGGCCCUCCGAGUCAAACGCUGGCUCCCUGAAAAUACCGUCGAAACAGCCUGUAGCUAAGACAAAACUGAGUCCGAUGCUUCCUUCUCUUGUUCGGGGAGAGCACUGUCUGAAAGGGUAGUUAGUCGAGAGGAGGUAGAGGGGCAGAGUUGGGGUGUUGAGGUUUGGGGCCAGGCUGAAGGGGGGCUUUUUGAUGCAAGAUUUUUUAAAUUAGGGUUGGGUAAGGAUCGGGUCACAUAGUUCAGGAUGUGUGGUCCCGGUGACGUGAGGAUUUCAUGAGCCUUGGAGCUUCAACUGUUGCUUAAUGCUACCUGUCAAAAGUUGGGACGGUUUUCAAUGGAUUUUUGUGAAGUCGGAGAGUAAGGUUAUUGACACCUUUUGUUUUCCUGGGCAGGUGUUUCCUGACAUCAUACAAUAACACAGUCAGGUUGUUUUGCCUCAGCCAGUAUGAGUCACAGCCUUCUGUUGUUUGCACCCACAGAAACCCUGUAUGUGGUUUGGUUGUGUGUAAAAUGGGGAUCAUAUUGCAGGGGGAUGGGGAGGAGCUGGGCACGCCCUGAGAAAACCAGGGUCUCAGCCUCUGGUAGCCCAGCAGGGCUUAUAAAAACGUCUGAGUCCUGAAAAACAACCCUUAUCUCAAAAAGGAAAAGGGAGCUCCAAAUUGAAAUGAAUAGGUGGUUAUUUAUAUGUAUAUCAAUAAACAAUAGACUAGAUUUAUUAUUAAUUCCUUAUUACUGUCCACCAGCCAACUGCUACUCAAAGCACAUAGUUAGGGGUGGUUGCAUUUACCCUGUAGAGAGAUGUGCACGUUCAUGUGAUUUGUGCCGUGUGGUCAGGGGUUCAAAGCUAAGAAUGCUCCAGGCUUCUCAAGAUGUUAAAACAUCCCUGGGGCAUUUGGCUCCUGGUCUUGGUACGUCCCUGCUCCGGUCUGUGAGCUCAUUUCCUCAUCUGUACAGUGGGGAAGACUGUGCUUUGGGCAGAAUAAGGAGGAAGUGAGGCCAUAUGUUAGCCAGCAGUUGUUGGAACUGAAGUCCACAGGAUUCUAGAGCAGCGUUCGCCCUCACCGGCAUGGGCUGCCCUGCACUUUGUGGGUCUAGAACAGACGGAGGGCACAUAGUAAGCAAGCUGGGAAGGAAUGGGAGUGUUAACCAGUUUGGAAGAAAGCAGGAGAAUGGAGGUGAUACUAACCAUUCUCCCAGCUCAACCUGGUUCCAUCCAUUUCCUGCACUGCUCCCCACCCCACCCACCAGGACAGGUGCAGGGACAACAUUAAACAUAUUUAACAACCAGUUUGAAACCAUGAAAACAGGCUUGUGGGAGAGGCUUGGAGCCCCCCACCCCCGUCUCAACAGGUAUUAAUGUUUUUAAUUGCUAGAGUUGGUGGGGGUGGGGGGGCUAUGGGAGCCGGGUAUUUAGGGAAGUCCCUGUUUAACCUGUAGUUGACAUUCAGUUCGGGCCCUGUCAGGGCCUCCCAGCUAAAAAUGUGCCUGCGUAGGGAAGUGGGGGUCCCAGGUGUGGGGCAGGCGGAGGUGGGGGCCUGGGUAGGGGGCAGAUCCUGAUCAGGUGAGCCUUCUGUGGUCACCAGAGCAGUGGGGUCUCCUGGUGAGUGCUGGGCUCUACCAGGGAAGCUUCAGCCUCCUGGGGCUCCUGGGCGUUUGAGGGGCGCCCUCGCNNNNNNNNNNNNNNNNNNNNNNNNNNNNNNNNNNNNNNNNNNNNNNNNNNNNNNNNNNNNNNNNNNNNNNUGGGAGCCGGGUAUUUAGGGAAGUCCCUGUUUAACCUGUAGUUGACAUUCAGUUCGGGCCCUGUCAGGGCCUCCCAGCUAAAAAUGUGCCUGCGUAGGGAAGUGGGGGUCCCAGGUGUGGGGCAGGCGGAGGUGGGGGCCUGGGUAGGGGGCAGAUCCUGAUCAGGUGAGCCUUCUGUGGUCACCAGAGCAGUGGGGUCUCCUGGUGAGUGCUGGGCUCUACCAGGGAAGCUUCAGCCUCCUGGGGCUCCUGGGCGUUUGAGGGGCGCCCUCGCUGAACUUUGCUAGGUUUGCAUGUCCGCCCAUCUUAGACUUGGGGAACUCUUUCCCCUUUCCUGUUCCUAGGUGACACAUUUCCUGUCCUCUCUCCACACCGGUGCUCCGUCUUUCACAACACCUUGCUGGUGAACUCAGGUUUGACACCCAUCCUUAGCAGCUGGAGGAUUAGUUCUGCCCUUAAGGGCAAGAAAGACUGGGCCUUCCAACCCUGCCGAUUCGAGGGAAAAUAUUUGUGUUCUAUUUCUUCAUGGUAAAGAACAGAAAAAAAAAAUCACUACACAGCUCUAGAAAAGUCUUUAGAAAAGAGAGUAGUUCGACAGUACAUGUCAGAUAAGUUUAUAAGCUAGUGAUUUUCCUACUAAGAAUGUAACUUGAGUGAGAAGGAAAGCUGGUGAGAGCAGAUAAAAAAGGGCCAGCCAGAUGUCCAAGGCCAGAUAGUCCCCUUGCUUGCUUUUGGCUUCUGUAAUCUUGCUUGCCCCCACAUCAGUCAGCAGCCAGGAACCGGAAGACUGAUUGUACUAGUCCCACCCAACCCAGAAACGCUUAGGUAUAAAGGAUCAGUAAAAUCCGAGCCGGGUGCUCAGCUUUUGGAGGUGACUCCGCUGGGACGGCACCGGUGCGAAAUAGUCUUUUUUAAUUCCCUGAGUGUGUGUCGCUUGUCUUUUCCUCGACUAUUUGCUGUAAUAUUUUUGGUGCAUUGGCCAGGAAGCCGACAGCCGUGCUGGCCCCUUGAGUCACCACUGUGGGAGGCCACGGAAAGCCCACUCAUCGCGGGGCCCUGUGAUAAAGGAAGGUACGCCACCACCUUGACCGCGACCCUCACCAGGCCCGACAGUAGUCAGCCGCCGCUGUUUUCAGACGGACUCCAGGGGAGUCAGAAAAUUCUGCCAGGACGGGACAUCGGAUCGGGUGAGUGUCCCCGAGGACCCAGCACCGAGUUCAGGCCCGCCCUAGGACAGGGAAGUCCCAGGUGGAAGUCUGUAAUCUGUCUGAAUGUGUGUGUGAGUGCUACACGGUCUCGGCCAAGGAGCCUGAGUGGGUCCUACCCUGUGAUUCCUUGACAGCCUCAUACGGCUCAAGGCAGAAUCAGGUCCGCCGAGGCCUGAUCUGAGUCGGGUUUAUACUGACCUGCCAAUGUUAAGAGGCAUCUGAGUACCUUCGAGGAGAGCGGCCAGGUGGACGAAGCGACCCCUUCCCUCGUGUUUGUCCUGCGACACCGCACAUUGGGAAGGACCCAUCUGGGAUACCAGGAUGGGGGGGGGGGGUUCCUCAAAACCAACUGUUUUGGAAUGUGUGAUAAGAAUUUUAAAAAGGGAUUUUCAGGUGACUGUGGGGCCAGAUUGACCCCCGGGAAAUUACGAACCCUCUCUGAAUUAGAAUGGCCUGCGUUUGGUGUAGGCUGGCCCCCUGAGGGCACCCUAGAUGUCCCCCCAGGCUGAGCUGUUUAUAAAGUAGUUACUUGAGACCCCGGCCACCUGGAUCAAUUCCCAUACAUCGAUCAGUGGCUGGAAAUAGCCCAAGUCAAGCCUCCUUGGGUUCAGUAAAGGACAGUGUAGGGUCUUAGUGGCACGGGCUGAGAAGACCUCACAACAGAAAAAAACGCCCCCGUCCUCGAAGAAAAUUUAGACAUCCUUCCUUUUCUGCCACCCUAUGCCCCCAGAGUCCCAUCAGUCGAGGGAGGGGAACCUCGCCUGGCUGACAGUCCACUCCCAUCGGUCUCACCCCCGCCAGCAGUCAGCCCGCCCCCACCAGGGAUACCUGAACCAGUAGGAAGGUGCCGUAGGUCCACGGCUCAGGGUCCAAGGCCCCGAUGGCAAUGCAGAUGCCAUUGCAGGAGACGGGUCCGCAGAGAAUAGGCCCCGAUGGGACCCUUUCUACUACCAACGGUUCUCCACUACUGACCUCCUCACCGGGAAACACCACACUCGCCCAACUCUGAGAGGCCGCAGGCGAUGAUCUUCUAGAGUCCAUAUUCCAGACUCAACGCCCUGCCUGGGUCAACUGUAAGCAGCUUCUGCGUCCCCUUUUCAACACAGGAGAGCGCCAGCGAAUUGUCACCGAAGCCAGAAGAUGGCUCCCGAGUCAAGCACCAGAUGGACAACUAGACGUUGAGGCUUAGGCACGGGAGGCUGUGCCCAAAGAGGAACACAGAAGUGGGAAGGGCCAGACUAGAAAGAUACCGACUGGCCUUCCUCCAAGGGGUAAAAGCAGGGACCAGACAGCCUGCCAACGUGGCAAAAGUAUCUGAGGUGUGUCAAAAGCCAGAAGAGAGUCCGGCUGACUUCUGUGAAAAUUACGUGAAGCCUUCAGAGUUUACACUCCAUCGACCCAGAAGCCCUCAAAAACCAGCACAUGGUCACUGCUGCCUUUGUGGGAUAGCCCCAUAGUGACAUUAGACAGAGGCUCCAAAAAUUGGAAGGAUUUGGUGGAAAGAACGCCACCGAACUAUUGGAAAUCGCCAACAAGGUUUUUGUAAAUUGGGGCCAAGCUGCCAGAAAGGAGGCGGACAGCAGAGUGAAACGGAAGGCAGCUCUCCUGGCCGCGGCCUCGGGGCGACCACCCCCUGUGGAAGGGCACGGAAACCACAAGGGGCUCGAGAACAAAAAAGAAGGGCGCCGCUGGGAUGGGGUCAACGUGUCCGCUGCAAGGAAUGCGGACCCUGGAAAAAUGAAUGGCCCAGCCGCCAAAAAGGGAAACCAAAAGCUUCUACUCCACCGAGAUGCUACCAACCAGAACCACCCGAGGCCGACCUGAUCGGUGUCCAGCUGGGCCCCCAUGAGCCCAUGGUCAAAAUGAAGGCGGGGGGCCAGACAAUAGACUUCAUGGUCGACACGGGGGCCGAACACUCUGCGGUGACACACAGGGUGGCACCUCUGUCGGGUCGAGAAGUCACCAUCGUAGGAGCCACUGGGAUGCAAACCUGAAGGCCAUUUUGCCGUCCCUGACAGUGACCUGGGAGGUCACCAAGUAGUUCACGAAUUCCUGUAUCUACCUGACUGCGCACUGUCACUGUUAGGUAGAGACCCCCUAGCCAAGAUGGGCGCUCAAAUAGCCUUCACCUUGGAUGCACGGACACAACAGCACCUAAAUGAAAAGGCCCAACCCAUGGUUUUGUCCCUGACGAUUCCACGGGAAGAGGAAUGGAGAUUAUAUACUUCCCCUCUCGGUGAGCCAACUGUGGCCCCCGAGCUAGAAGCUGAAUUCCCUUCAGUUUGGGCAGAAGGGACCCCCCUCUCAUCUGCAAAAAGCCCCCCCCCCCCCAAUAUUAAUUGACCUAAAGCCUGGGGCCCAGCCUGUCAAAAUAUGCCCAUACGUGAUCUCAUGGGAGGCUCACCCGGGGAUCCAGACGCUCUUGGACAGGCUCUGGUAAAACGAUGCCAGUCCCCGUGGAAUACCCCCUGCUGCCCGUGAAGAAGCCGGGGACAGAUGAUCACCGCCCCGUGCAGGACCUAAGAGCCGUAAAUGGAGCAGUCGUCAGGCUGCAUUCAGCAUUGCCCAACCCGUACGCUCUGCUAGGACUCAUACCCUCUGAGGCAGGGUGUUUCACGUGUCUAGAUUUAAAGGACACCUUCUUCUGUCCCCAGCUAGCGCCUAAUAGCCACCCCCUGUUUGCCUUUGGAUGGGAAAACCCUACCACAGGAGCAAACGAACAAUUCACUUGGACUAGACUGCCGCAAGGAUUAAAAAAUCCACCAGCCUUAUUCAGUGGGGCACCGGCAUCUGACUUAGCCAGGUUCCUGGGACGGGACCUAGGAUGUGUCCUCCUCCGGUACGUGGACAAUCUCCUGCCAGCCAGUCCCAGGCGGACCCAGUGCUGAGAGGGAACCAGGGCCCCACUCAGGCCGCUGGCAGAGGUGGGAUACCGGGUGUCAAAGAAAAAGGCACAGAUUUGCCCGUAGGCAGUUAAAUAUUUGGGCUUCAGAAUUACUCAAGGCAAACGGAUGCUGCGAGCCGAAAGGAAACAGGCAGUCUGUGCCAUCCGGUUCCCACUCCUCACUAGCAGGUCCAAGAGUUCCUGGGAGCAGCAGGAUUCUGUCGGAUAUGGAUCCCAGGGUUCUCGGAGUUGGCCAGACCUCUCUAUGAGGCACCAAAGGGGGAAGAAAGGGCACCCCUUUUCUGGGGCCCUCAUGAAGAAAAGGUAUUUUAAAACCAUAAAAACAAAACUCGCAGAGGCCCCGGCCCUGGGACCUCCAGAUGUAUCACGAGAUUUCAGUCUGUUCGUACGUGAAAGCAGUGGGGUGGCCCUGGGGGUUCUCACCCAGGACUUUGGAGCUUGACAAAGACCAGUGGCAUAUCUUUCAAAGCAGAUUAACUCAGCUGUGGGAGGACGGCCACCCUGUCUGAGGGCCCUGGCAGCCACCGCACUUGUGAUCAAGGAAGCAGGCACACUCAUGUUGGGGCAAGACCUAAGCUCUGAGGUUUCCCGUGCUGUUAUUACCGUGAUAGAUGCCGGAGGGCAACGCUGGCUGACACGUGCUCGGAUGACAGUGUCGGGGAGCGCUGUGUGGUCCCACGAAUCAGAUCGGAAGCCGUAGAAACUAAACCCUGCCACUUUCUUGCCUGCAGCGGCAGGGCCCCCAGAGCAUGAUUGUCUAGGGGUCCUUGAUGGAGUCUUUUCCAGCCGAUCCGACCUAUCAGACAGACCCUUACAAAAUCCUAAUCUCACCCUGUACACCGACGGCAGCAGCUUCGUGAACGCCGGUUACACAGGAGUCUCUGAUUUCGAGGUCACAGAAGCAGAGGCCCUUCCACAAGGACGACCAGCUCAAAGAGCAGAACCGUGGGCCCUAAUGAGAGCACUAGAACUCAGGAAGGACAGACAGGCCAACAGACACGCUGACUUGCGCCAUGCCCUUGCCACUCUACCUGCACGUGGGGCCCUACACAAGGAGAAUGGACUUUUGACCACAGGAGGGAAAGAAAGAAAAAAUUGGGAAGAAAUCCUAAAACUACUGAGGGCAGUCUGGGAACCGAGGAAGGUAGCAGUCAUCCACUGCAGGGGACACCAAAGGGGAAAGGACUCUGUGUCGGAAGGUAACUGACGGGCGGACGCCGCAGCUAAACAAGCAGCGGGAGAAUGAACGGCACCCUCGAAAAUCACGCUGGCCCCGGAGCUGCCGGCUUCCCCAAGGUACACGAUCCAAGAGACAAAAUGGGCACAGCAGGAAACAGGAGGCCAGACGGAAGGGUGGUGGGUACUUGCGGACCAAAGAGUCUGUGUACUGGAGCCGCUAGCCCGCCAGGUGGUUCCCAGCAGCCUGAGCUCCCCCACCCGGGAAGAACCGCCCUUGAAACCUUAUCGGGCUGUUACUAUGUAAUCGCUUGGCUCCCGUCCUUCUGUGCCUCGGUCUCUCAACGCUGCCUCCUCUGUGCUCAAAAUAACACCAGACAGGGCCCCACUGGACCCGUGGGAAUCCAUUGCUGCGGUCAGGCACCCUUCAAAGAUUUGGAGGUAGGCUUUACCGAAAUGAGAACCGGCGGAGGAUACGAAUUUCUUCUAUUCAUCUGCACGUUUCCGGGCUGGGCGGAGGCCUACCCCACACGCACCGAAAAGGCAAGAGUAGUAACCAAGGCCUUGCUAAGGGAUAUCAUCCCCAGACGUGGAAUGCCGUGAACCAUGGGCUCAGACAGGGGCCCGGCUUUUGUGGCCGAGGUGAUGCCUAAAGUAUCCCUGGGCAUCCGAUAGAAUUUACACGCAGCCUACCAGCCCGAGUUCAGAGAAAGUGGAACGUAUGGAACCGGACCCUUAAAUCAGCCAUGGCAAAACUGCGUCAGGAAACUAAUUUGCCAGACAUACGACCUCUGUCUAGCUCUUCUCCAAAUACGCUGUACACCCCGGGCAAAAAUCGGAUCCUCCCCAUUCGAUACCCUCUCUGGAAGAUCCCCUCCACUAGUCAAAUUCAAGGGGGACCUGACAGAACUAGGGAAACAAGAAUUAGGGAAAACUAUUUGGGAUACACACAUGGUGACGGACAGGAUACCUAUUUCCCGUGGGAUAGCUGUACAUCCCACAAACCUGGGGAUCCGGUUUGGAGUAAAGAUAAGAAAAGGAAACCACUCAAACCUACCUGGAAGGAACCCUAUUUCGUUGUGCUAACCACGCCCACGGCCCUCAAGCUCGCAGGACUAACCGCCUGGAUCCACCAUUCUCGAGUAAAGGCGGCCCGCCCGUCGCCUGACAACCACUUGGAAUGGAAAGGAACUGCGCGAGCCAGAACAGUCCUCUACAGACCACCCUUAAGAGCACAGCGCCGAUAAGCGGCCUGCAGCCGACCCCUGAGGGCUCUGGGUAAGCAGAAGCUUGAGGAAAUCACCAAGCGACCUCAGUGACCUCCAGCACCUCGUUCUCGAAUUUCCCUGUCAUCCCCUGCCCGUUUCUUUUGCCAUGCUUGUCGCCAUGCUGUCUGCUUAGGGCUGACCCAAGUUACUCCACAGACGGGCGCCUCAGUCACUGACUCCUGUUAGCCUCCCUCUGCUCACUAGUGUCAGGAUGCCUCGUUCUCCUUAGGUGUGCACGAUCUGAGUUGUGAUAGAUGUCCUCUGCACGUUGUUCUCUGCCUUUAGAACCGUCUCACAGCCCCGGAAGGGCUGGCCCUGUCUCCCGUCCCCGUGGCGCAUAUCCCUGUUCCUAACCUGCUCAGAAAGAGUCUGCUCUCUCCCGUCAUGCAGAUGUGUGACCUGUCACUCCCCGCCUGUCCCCCAAGGCCCGAAGAGCCACUCUGUGCUCCCCACCCCUGGACCCCAUCUGUCGUCAUGAGGGCCAGACUUCUGUAACAGACGCAUGGGGUUGCACUGCCUGCUACCCCACUCGGCCUCCUACAGAGGCCACUCCUUUCCCUGUGCCCUUCCCGACUCCUGCUCCAACCCUCCGGUUCUCAGAGGUCAGACGACACUACCACGUGUCCCUGUGCCACCGUGUACCCCCACGUGCCGGACAGAUGUUAUACCAGGAGGGUCACUCCCUGUACCAGAAGCAGGAAAACUUACUGGACGGGAAAAAUGAAAAUGAGACGUUACUGGGGGCUGCCUGAUCCGACCUGCCCUGAUGCUCCCCUUGCCUGUUGGGUCAUCCUCCGUGGGAACAUAAAUCAGGUAGACCACUUGUCUUAGAUCCCCGACUGGACCAGAUGUUAAACGCAGCUCAUCGCCUCCUCAGUGCUACCAAUCCUGCCGGCUCUGCUUGUCCGCGGGACCCACCCGUUAGGCAGCUAGUCCGAUAACACAGGCCCCUGUAAAUGUUACCCUGCUACCAAAAGACCCAGAGCCCUGCACGGUGAGACCUAUACCAACUGGAGUCGAACUGCCCCCAGUGGCUCCCAGUUGCCUGACAGACAAGAGGGGAACAGAGCCAUUUGGCAUUCUGACCGCUGGCCAGUGCAACCAAAGUCUUGACAGUCAGGAGCUCAGUCAUCUUCCUACGAGCCAAGCCUGGUGUCGACCCCUCCCAGGGCUUCUCUUUAUCUGUGGGACGGACGCCUCCCUAUGUCUGCCAGCUGACUGGACGGGCACUGUACCCUGGCCUUCCUCCUCGUAAGAUAAACGUUGUUCCCAACAAUCAGUCUCUUAGAGUACCCGUGGCAGCACAUACUCGCUCAAAAAGAGCCACCCAAGUCAUCCCCCUGCUGAUUGCCUUAGGGAUGCGGCAGGGGUGGGCACUGGAGUAGGAGGAACCGCGUCCUCACCCACUUACUGCCAUGAAUUGUCCAGGGACCUAACAGACGGCACAGAACGGGUUAUCAAACCUCUGGUGGUGUUACAAGCCCAAGUAGACUCCCUAGCAGCGGUAGUCUUACGGAACAGAAGAGGGCUGGGCCUCCCACUGCUGAAAGGGGAGGACUGUGUCUCUUCCUGAACAAAGACUGCUGCUUCUGUGUCAGCCAGUCAGGGACAGUCGGAGGUAUGGUCCACAGGUUAAGGGAGCGAAUCACCAAACGAGGCAGGAACAGUUCCUCCUGGAACUGUUGGAGGAACAUGUAGAAUUGGGCGUCCUGGCUCCUCCCUUAGCUGGUCCUCUCCUGGUGCUUGUCACAGCCCUCCUGUUUGGUCCUUGUGUUCUUACUACGCUAACCAGGUUUGUUUCCUCCCGCCUGGAAGCUGUAACACUCCAGAUGGACCGUUCUAGCUGUCGCUACUCUCCUUUGGAUGGCGAAGAACCCUGGCUGUCACUUUCCUCCCCUCGACAUCCGUGUCCAGGGGGAAGAAGCCAGAACGGCCUUUGCCCCUCCCCCCGUGGCAGCAAAGGGCCCCCUGGCCCCCACGAACUGAUUUUCUCUAAGCCUGCUACAGCAGCUUGAGAAUCAAGAGCGGGGAAUGAGAAGGAAAAUUGGUGGGAGCAGAUAAAAAAGGGCCAGCCAGGUGUCCGAGGCCGGAUUCUCCCCCUGUAGGCUUGCGGCUUCUGUAAUCUUGCCCCUUACGGCAGCCAGCAGCCAGGAACCAGAAGCUUGACUGUCCUAGUCCCGCCCAACCCGGAAGCACAUAUGUAUAAAGGGUCAGUAAAACCCGAGUCCGGGUGCUCAGCCUUUGGAGGUGACUCCGCUGGGCCAGCACCGGUGCGAAAUAAACAGUCUUUUCUGUCCCCGAGUGUGUAUCGCUGGUCUCUUCCUGGGCGCCGAGUUCUUGCUGUAACAUGAGGAACUGAUGAGAGAUGUUUCUUAAGGAUUUGUGAACAGGUGGUUGACGGAAGCAUCAUAUGCAACAGUAAAAAGAAUGAAUAUCCAGUAUCAGAGGACGGGCCUUGGGUCACUUACACAAUGGAAUGUUAUAUCGUAUUAGUAAUCAUAUUAUGGAUGAAUAGUUUACGGACAUGGGCGAUACCAAAAUGUGUUACAUUUAAUAAGCGGAUUGGGGCACCUGGGUGGCUCUGUUGGUUGAGCAUCCGACUUCAUUUUGGCUCAGAUCGUGAUCCCAGGGUCGGGAGAUCGAGCCCCACAUCAGGGUCUGUGCUCAGUGUGGAGCCUGCUUGAGAUUCUCUCUCUCUCUCCCCCCUCCCCCCUCCCCCCUCCCCCUCUCCCUUCUCCCCUCCCCCUUCUCCCCUCCCCCUUCUCCCCUCUCCCCUCUCCCCUCUCCUGCCCCUACCCAGCUUGUACUCACUGGUUUGAGCACUCUCUCUCUAAAUAAAAUAAUAAAGGUAAAAAGCAGAUUAAAAUAAUGUAGUAGUAUGAUAGAAAUAAUACAGAAAGGGAAAAACAGAAUUUGUAGCCUGCUCUAUUAAGUACAAAUUUGUAAACUGUUUGAUUUCAUUAAUUCAUUCAACAAAAUACACUGACGAUGUAACAGUAACAGGUUAAAAAUGUAAUUUACAGUGCGCCUGACUGGCCUGAUGGAGGGUGCAACUCUUGAUCUCAGGGUUGUGGGUUUGAGACCCACAUUGGGUCUCUUUAUUUAUUCAUUUAUGUAUUUUGGUUUCAGGGGUAGAAUUCGGUGAUUCAUCCCAACGGGUGCCCUCCUGAAUCCCCGUCACCUGUUCAGCCCAUCCCCUACCCACCUCCCUCCUUCAACCCUCAGUUUGUUCUCUCUUUAAGAGUCUCUUAUGGUUUGUUUCCCUCUCUUUUUUCUUGUUCUUUCCCCCAGCCACGUGUUCAUCUGUUUUGUUUGUUAAAUUUCACAUACGAGUGAAAAUAUACGGUAUUUGUCUUUCUCUGACUUACUUGCUUAGCGUAAUACACUGUAGUCCCAUCCACGUCAUUGGGAAUGGCAGGGUUUCAUUUUUUUUUUUUUGUCAAAAUAGUAUUUAUUUAUUUGUAAAUGUUUAUUUUGAGAGAGAGGGAGAGGGAGUGCGAGGGCCUGAACAGGGAAGGGCAGAGAGAGAAUCCCACACCGUCAGCACAGAGCUCCACGCAGGGCUUGGUCCCAUGACCCUCAGAUCGUGACCUGAGCUGAAGUCAAGAGUUGGAUGCUCAACCACCUGAGCCACCCAGGUGCCUCAAGGUGUCAUUCUUUGGGAUGGCUGAGUAAUAUUCCAUCGUGUAUAUAUCACAUCUUUAUCCGUUUAUCAGUCGAUGGACAUUUGGGCUCUUUUCAUAGCUCGGCUGCUGUCGAACAGCCUCGCUCUCCAUUGGCAAAUUUAAAACGAGAGCGGGAAUGAGGGCGCGGGAAGAGAGAAGUAGGGUCAUUCAAGUGGUUGUCUAGCUCACCCAGAGCUUCAGACAAGGGGAGCGGCCCGGCCCCUUGUCUAGUUGUUAACUAGUAGGUUUGUGUUGCGGCUGCUGGCGGUAUGUUUGUUCCAGACGGAUGUCUUUGAAAUGGACGCUUCUGCGACCCAAAGCUUCGUGUCAGGGACUCGUGUUACAAAUACACACGCUGGCCUCUGCCCCCAGUGCCUGACCCUGGGCUCCUUAAUCCCUUGGAAUUUCCUGGGUGGCCGGAGUGUCUUCUAGUUUGAGGAGGCGGCUCUUGGUGGGCUCCGGAUAGCUCCCGGGCGAAGGCUGGUCACUAGAAAGACCAAACCAAGAUUAGAAGCUUGCAACCUCCAGCGCCGUCCUCCAGGGGGCGCAGAGGGGCUGGAGAUGGAGUUGAGCACCAGUCACGCCCACGUGAUGGGUCUCCAUGAACAUCCCUAAGGCGUGGGGAUCCGAGGCCUUCCAGGUUGGUGAACACAUCCACGUGCCGGGAGAGUGGCGCGCCCCCACGCCACGACACGGUGGCUCCCGCGUUCGGGAUCCUUCCUGGCUUUGCCCCGUGCCCCCCUCAUCUGGCUGUUCCCUGGAUCCUUUAUUACAUAAUAAACUGGUAAACAUAAGUGUUCCCUUGAGUUUUGUGAGCGAUCCUAGCAAAUUCUUGAACCCGAGGAGGGGAUCCCGGGAGUCCUGGAUUUGUAGCCAGGUCGGGCAGAAGUGUGGGUGAUGAGGACCCACCGCCUGGGAUUGGCGUCUCUGAAGUGGGGGGAUCUCAUGGGGCCGAGCCCUGGCCCUCUGGGGUCUGUGCUAACUCCAGUUGGCGUCUGCAUUGAGUGAAAUUGGAGGACACCCAGCUGGUGUCCACAGAAAAGGAGAAUCGCGUGAUGAACAAAAUCCUACAUAGCCGGGACCAGACAGCACUUUGCGUCUACAGACAGCUGGUUUUUCCUCUCCAGUUGGAUGUGGGCGGGAGGCACGGGGCGAGUCAGGGACGGUCCGAGCCAUGCGGCUGGAGCGCCCAGGGGGAUGGUGCUGUUCUCUAAGAUGGGGACCCCGGGGGUCGGGGUUCCAGGGAAUCUCAAGGUCCCCUACUUGUCCUCAGCACCCAGACUUGGGCUGUGGCAGGCUGCCUCGUGUCUCACCAGGCGUGCUGGGCCUCCCUUCACCCCAGCCCCCAACCCGGAUGGGUGUCCCCAUCCCAGCCACCGACCUAGGCCCUAGAGCUGUGUGUCCUCCUGGCUGGAGAAACCACACUGACUUACCCAGAAGCCAUCAGUCAGCCGUAACCAGCAGCCAUGCACUGCCCCGGGGGGUGAGGGGGAGGAGGAACGUAGUCGGAGGUGGCUCUCCACCCCGCGGGGGAGGCCGGGGCUGGUUUUCCGUGCUUCCUCUCCGCAGGCAUGACGUGGCUACGCGGGUCACCUGGGGGGCUAGUCACGGCUUGGUAGGAAACCCCCAAAGGAAGGGCUAGGAGCACCUGUUAGUCCCAGCUCUGUUACUGGAUCUUGUGCAGCAUUCACUUCCUUUCCGUGAGUCCUUGGCCAUGACUUCUGACCUCGAGACUGAGGUCCUGCCCUCUCUUCUUGGGCCAUGAGUCACUCCUACAUCACCACGAGUACUGGAAGCUGCCCAGCCUGGCGAUGGGCACCCAGCGAGUCAGCUCAGCCAGCUUGCCCGUUGCCCUCUGUCCUCCUUCCCAGCAGGCUCCUCUGGGCCCGGCCCUCCCCAGCCCAGAGCUCCCCUCUGCUUCCUGGUGGCGGAGAAGUGCCCAGCCCUUCUCGGCUGGUCUCUGUCUCGGUGUCGUGGUCAGAACAGGUUCCAGUGGGUCCCAGGUGGGAGGGGGAGGGAUGCCGGAGUGCUGGGGAGUCCGGCUCUAUUAUGAGCUGGUAAGGUGGUGGAUGACGCUCAGGGACAUGCAGGGCAGAACUUCACAGUGGGCCGUCCGGGAGCGGGGGAAGGCCUGUUUUGUGGCCUUUGGUGGUAUGUCCAUUGUCCCGUCGUGCACGGCUGGUCUCAGGACACUGCUGUGAUGUGAGCUCUUGCCAACUUCCCACCAGCUUCACCAUCAGCUCCUGCUAGCUAGUCGGAGCCCUUGUUAACACAUCCCCGUGGUAAACGUUCAAUUGAUUUUUUUAAAUAGGCUCCGUGUUCAACGUGAGACUUGAACUCGGGACCCUGAGAUCAAGAGUCGCACGCUCUACAGACUGAGCCAGCCAGGCGUCCCAAACAUGCUAUUUUAAAGGUAAGCAGGCAAAGCAGAGGGGGCUCCAAGUUUACCUGUGACCAACUCUUACCCGCUAGGCCAAGGUCUUGUGCAUGGAGAAGGGGGGCAGUAGAGGGGUUUUCCACCAACCAGAGAAGCCGUGUGUAGCCUGGGAAGUUGGGAGUGGAGGUGAGGGGUUCUGGCCCCCAGGGUGGGCCGUCCAGUGACGUUUCUGCAGGAAGACUGACCACCUUCCUCCCCGGAGAGUCCCAGCCCAGGCCGACAGGUUAUUUUUCCAUGAGAACCAUAGGAGUCAAUAGGGGAAAACGGGAUCAGCUCUAAGAAAUCCAGCGUACGGCCAGCUUUUCUGAAGGAGGGAUAGGUUGUGGAUAAAUCCGGACUGAGGAGGCUGUGAGGAAAAUGUGGGGCCCGGGGUGUGGGAGCUGGGCUCGGGUGAGGUGGGGCUCCGAGUGGGACCUGGGACCUGGGACCUGGGACCUGAGACGGGGUUGGAGCCACUUUGGACCCAAGUCUCCAAGAGGCAGGGAGCCCUGUGUGAGAGCCAGGAGAGUUCGGGAGUGUGAUUAGACCAGGGGAAGGGCAUCCCCAGUGAUGACGCCGCGGUCAGUGAGCAGUGUCCUCGAGUGUCCCCAGGGCCUCGUUAGUGCCCAGGAGACCUCGCCCGCAGACCAGCACAGCCCGAUGCUGUUCACGGGGCCCUGGGCGCCUCGCGACCACCAGCCCUUCAACCCGAGCAGCCCUUGCUCCCUCGGUCGGUGGUGGCAGGCAGGGCGGGGCCGACCAGUGCUCCUCACAGAUGGAUAAACUGAGGCCGGGCUUGGAGGAAGGAGCCCGUGUUCGGCCGGCCCCUUGGGGCGCUCCGCUGGCUCGCGUGAGGGCGGCUNNNNNNNNNNNNNNNNNNNNNNNNNNNNNNNNNNNNNNNNNNNNNNNNNNNNNNNNNNNNNNNNNNNNNNNNNNNNNNNNNNNNNNNNNNNNNNNNNNNNNNNNNNNNNNNNNNNNNNNNNNNNNNNNNNNNNNNNNNNNNNNNNNNNNNNNNNNNNNNNNNNNNNNNNNNNNNNNNNNNNNNNNNNNNNNNNNNNNNNNNNNNNNNNNNNNNNNNNNNNNNNNNNNNNNNNNNNNNNNNNNNNNNNNNNNNNNNNNNNNNNNNNNNNNNNNNNNNNNNNNNNNNNNNNNNNNNNNNNNNNNNNNNNNNNNNNNNNNNNNNNNNNNNNNNNNNNNNNCGCCCGCAUGGGUCCGAGGCGUUGACCACCUGCUUCAGCUACACAACUUUCCAUCUUCCCCGAGGACUCUGCCCCCGCCCCCACCCCCACUUCCUGUCUCUGGGCUUGCCCUUGAGGGACCUCGUGGAAGUGGAACCCUGCAGUAUUUAUCCCUUUGCGCCUGGCCCUUCACCGAGCGUGACGUCCGCCAGCUCAGCCGCGCCGUAGCCGGUGUGGUAGCAGGUGUGCGGCAGUCCGUCCUUUCUGUGGCUGAAUGACGUGUCUCACUGGGUGGAGGGACCACGGCUCGCUUAUCCGUUCGCCCACUGAUGGACAUUUGGCCGUUUCCUCUCUGGGGCUCCCGUGCCUAGUGCUGCCGUGAACGUGCGUGCCGGUCCUGCUUGGGCGGGCACCCGGGGGCAGGCCAGGUGCCACCCAGCACCCGCCGUGAGAGCUGUCAGCCCCCUCCCCACACCCCCCAGGGCCCCUGGUGGUCCGGCGGCCUCUGCUCCUGUGCCCAUGAGCUGGUUGAUCCCUGGCCCCGGGACGGCCUCCCCACUUCUGUCUCCGUUUCGUCCCCUGCACAGGGAGGCCCACUGGGUGGGGUCGGGCCCCCUCGGUCCCCGUGCCUGUCCUCUGCCCCAGCUCGGAUCUGCUGUCCCACCCGGCAGACCCUUUGCUCGCACCUUCCCCGGGGCCGGAAUGACCUCUGACUACACCUGGAAGACUCAGCUGGAGAGAUCGCCAUCCUCCCUGCCCCCGUCCCCCUCCCGGUUUGGUUUCCCUGUGAUUCUGUCAUCCGUCAGACUAAACGACUGAUGGAUGGUGUUUCUCUCUCUCCUCCAGCGUCCCCAGCGUGCGGGCAGGGGCGGUCUCCGGUCUGCUCGCCGCUGUGUCUCCAGCACGCCCGGGUGUGAAAUGGCGUUGGUGUGCCACUUCUUCGGGCUGAGCCCCGCCAGCCCCAGCUGCCACUCGUGCUAUGCGUCCGCAGCCCUCUCCGUCCUGCACAGCUCGCUGCAAAUCAUCGGUGGCCCUGCGAUGGCGUGACAGGCACCGGGUGGCAGGGUGGGUGGCAGGGUGGGCACCUGGUGCCCAGGCGAGGACAUGCCCAGCCGGCACUGCUGGUGUGGCUUCAGCAUCCAGUAGGCGCUCCGUAAAUGUCUCCAAUGGAUGUCAAGUCACGCCGGGGCCCCCACUCUCUGGGAACUGGGGAGCCAGUCUCUGGGGCCCUUGCUGAGCCCUGGUGCCCGACAGCCUUCACUGCCUUCUCAGGUCUUCCUGUGGCUCCUACCGGGUCCUUCUCCUGGAGGCCCUCUACCUGGCCACCCUUUUUGGGGACGAGUGACAUCUCAGGACACGUGUCUGUCCCUCGGGUGACCUCGGCAGUGGCCCAGUUCUCAGGAAACGUCAUAAUAGGACACUGGGGAGGCUGCAUUCUGGGACAGCUGGUCCCUGGCACAAUCCUCCCGACACCUUGCCACGCUUGUUUAUUCAUUCAGCAAACACCCACUGAGACCCGGAGUGCACCAGGGCCAUCCUAGAUCCCCAGGGUGUGCUGGGCCACCUGACACUGCCCCUCCCCUCGGGGCGGGGGGGUCACAGCUCCCAGCAC